CCAGUCUGAAGCGGAUGGCCUAAUUACGCCGGCUGUCAGCAUGCGUUCAAUUUCCUGUUCGACCAUUUCAUUAUUGUCUCGGUUCAUUCUGCAAGGGUGCUGCUGAACGGGGUCAACUUCAUCUGCAAUGACGUCAUGUCCGGUCUCGGAAUGACCGGGAAUAAACCUUCACACUUGUUAAUUAAACUCUGCAGUUGUUUUCGCUGCCUUGACUGCAAACGUUGAGUCUUUCCAUCGAGAUUUUUCAAAAACAUCAGAGUUUCUGAGUCUCGUUGAAACUACACGGAGCUUCUGGUAUCCCAGUACCAGACACCACAAUCUCCUCCGUUGUCCUAACAUUACUCACAGGUGCAGGGUCGGGGUCAUGAUAACCCCUGAUCUUAUUUACGCGGACGAGCUGGGUAGCCUCCCUCCGUCGGCCAGGAGUUCUAAUAACGCAAUUCAAAGAAUUAUUAGAUGUCAACAAAAUAGAGAGAGCACAGAGGAGAUUUAGUGGAAUGUUAGCUGGGUUUCAGCACCUAAGUUACAGGGAAAGGUUGAACAAGUUCGGUCUUUAUUCUUUGUACAGAUGAGAUUUACUAGAAUGUUACCUGGGUUUCAGCACCUAAGUUACAGGGAUAGGUUGAACAUGUUAGGUCUUUAUUCUUUUGUACAGAGGAGAUUUACUAGAAUGUUACCUGGGUCUCAGCAGCCAAGUUACAGGGAAAGGUUGAACAAGUUAGGUCUUUAUUCUUUUGUACAGAGGAGAUUUACUAGAAUGUUACCUGGGUCUCAGCAGCCAAGUUACAGGGAAAGGUUGAACAAGUUAGGUCUGUAUUCUUUGUACAGAGGAGAUUUACUAGAAUGUUACCUAGGAUUCAGCACCUAAGUUACAGAGAAAGGUUGAACAAGUUAGGUCUUUAUUUAAUCGAAGUAUUGAGUAUAAGAGUUGGAAUGUAAUGCUGAGGUUGUAUAAGGCAUUGGGGAGGCCGAAUUUGGAGUAUUGUGUGCAGUUUUGGUCACCGAAUCACAGGAAGGAUAUUAAUAAGGUUGAAAGAGUGCAGGGAAGGUUUACAAGGAUGUUGCUGGGACUUGAGAAACUGAGUUACAGAGAAAGGUUGAAUAGGUUAGGACUUUAUUCCCUGGAGCGUAGAAGAAUGAGGGGUGAUUUGAUAGAGGUGUAUAAAAUUAUGAUGGGUACAGAUAGAGUGAAUGCAAGCAAGCUUUUUCCACUGAGGCCAGGGGAGAAAAAAAACAGGACAUGGGUUAAGGGUGAAGGAGGAAAGGUUUAAAGGGAACAUUGGGGUGGGGCUUCUUCACACAGAGAGUGGUGGGAGUGUGGAAUGAGCUGCCAGAUGAAGUGGUAAAUGCAGGCUCACUUUUAACAUUUAAGAAAAACUUGGACAGGUACACGGAUGAGAGGUGUAUGGAGGGAUAUGGUCCUGGUGCAGGUCAGUGGGACUAGGCAGAAAAAUGCUUCGGCACAGCCAAGAAGGGCCGAAAGGCCUGUUUCUGUGCUGUGAUGUUCUAUGGUUCUGUGGAAACUGACUGGACUUGCAUGUCCAGUGUCUGCAGCUGAACAUUGGUGUAAUCAGUAAUUGUGGGGUUAAUAAACACUGAACAUUACUGUGGUUAUUGGUGAAAGUGGGAUUAAUAAACCUUGGGAUUAAACCUCAUCUCUCUCUGAUCCACAGUCUACGGUCUCAGUCUCACAGCUGCUGGUGUUGUGGAUCUCGCAUCCGCUCUCAGUACAAACCGUUCACUGACGGAGCUGGAUCUGGUUUAUAAUGAACUGGGAGAUUCGGGAGUGAAACUGGUGUUUGAGGCUCUGAGGAACCCGGAGUGUAAAUUACAGAGAGUGGGACUGAGGGGGAAUCGGUUCAGUUCAGAUGGAGAGAAACAGCUGAAGUCAAUGGAGGGAACCAGACCCGGACUGAGAGUGAUCUUCUGAACAUCCCACUGUGUGUACAUCACCACCCCCUGGGGUCGGAACAUUUCCCUCCCAUUUCCCACCCUCCCCUUUCAACCCGAACAUCCCACCUGGAACCGAGUACGUGUCCCUCCUGUGGUGAUGUUAAAUACCCGGUCGCAGAGUCACCGUCAAUGAGAAUAUAGUUUAAUAUCACUGGCAUAUAUCAUGAAGUUGUUGUUACGCUGCAACUAUACAGUGCAGUACAUAAUUAAAAACUAUAAAUUACAGUUUUAACGUCUAGGCCCGAUUGACGCACGUUCGUCGAGGGGAAACUGGCAUUGACCCCGUCAACAGUGUAAUCGUGUACAAACCCACAACAUGAAAUAUCAGACAGGACACAAUAUGCAAUUAAAUGAUCACACUUUAUAAUUA
This is a long non-coding RNA of Hypanus sabinus (Atlantic stingray), 2323 nucleotides long. RefSeq lists it as uncharacterized. NCBI's taxonomy places the organism in Eukaryota, Metazoa, Chordata, Chondrichthyes, Myliobatiformes, Dasyatidae. The transcript has 2 exons. The record is from RefSeq and is a predicted model, not a curated record.